GCGUCAGUAGUGCAACGGGUUAGAGCACGCACUCUCGAAUAGAGUGAGAUGUGAGUUCAAGUCCAGCGUGGCGCA
This is a non-coding RNA of Parelaphostrongylus tenuis, 75 nucleotides long. NCBI's taxonomy places the organism in Eukaryota, Metazoa, Nematoda, Chromadorea, Rhabditida, Metastrongylidae. The record is from the annotation of a GenBank genome assembly.